Molecule: long non-coding RNA, 218 nt
Filed under: Gossypium raimondii (Peruvian cotton)
Lineage: Eukaryota; Viridiplantae; Streptophyta; Magnoliopsida; Malvales; Malvaceae
Description: long non-coding RNA (GRAI_LNC002680)
Source: RNAcentral
GAGCGGACCACCGAUAACUAGGCCAUCGGCGCAGGAGGGGUCGCAAGGGGGGCCGUCGGGGAGCUCUCCUUUUUACCAAUCGCCAGCAACGCAUGGCUUUCAAACUCCGUCGCCGUUCAUGAUGCAAACACCUCCACAUACAGUAUUCUUUGAAGGUGGAUCAUCAUCCCAAGUCUGACAAGCAGAUGCCGAACCGGAAGAACAACAAUCACCACCCG